CGGAGUCUGAGCCGGCGGCACCCAGCUGGUGCCAGUCCACCCAGUGCUGACCCGGUACCAGCCUCUUCAGAGGGAUGAAGGUCUCUCCCAGCAGGGUGUUCUCCCAGAAAGCCCCGUCACCAAGAACCCGCAGGUGGGGUUACAGGUGCGUCGUGCUGCCUUGGUCUUCCUCUUGCUGGUCUUCUGGGGGUCUGGGAGGAGGUAGAGCUUCACGUAAGGGUCCGGGUCUGUGCCGUCCUGCAGAGGCUGCUGUUCAUGCCAACAGCCAAUCAAAACACGGGAGUAAGAAAACAGAACUUUGAGCAGCUGGUUGUUAUUAAUAAAUAAUAAAAUCGAUAAAAGUUCA
Sebastes umbrosus (honeycomb rockfish) is the source of this 346-nucleotide long non-coding RNA. RefSeq lists it as uncharacterized. Lineage: Eukaryota; Metazoa; Chordata; Actinopteri; Perciformes; Sebastidae. The transcript is spliced from 2 exons. The record is from RefSeq and is a predicted model, not a curated record.